GAUGAACGCUGGCGGCGUGCCUAAUACAUGCAAGUCGAGCGAACGGACGAGAAGCUUGCUUCUCUGAUGUUAGCGGCGGACGGGUGAGUAACACGUGGAUAACCUACCUAUAAGACUGGGAUAACUUCGGGAAACCGUAGCUAAUACCGGAUAAUAUUUUGAACCGCAUGGUUCAAAAGUGAAAGACGGUCUUGCUGUCACUUAUAGAUGGAUCCGCGCUGCAUUAGCUAGUUGGUAAGGUAACGGCUUACCAAGGCAACGAUGCAUAGCCGACCUGAGAGGGCGAUCGGCCACACUGGAACUGAGACACGGUCCCGAAUACUAAGGGAGGCAGCCGUAGGGAAUCUUCCGCCAUGGGCGAAAGCCUUACGGAGGAAACCCGGCUGAGUGAUGAAGGUUCUCGGAUCGUAAAACUCUGUUAUUAGGGAAGAGCAAAUGUUUUAGUAAACGUGAACAUCUUGACGGUACCUAAUCAGAAAGCCACGGCUAACUACGUG
This 497-nucleotide ribosomal RNA is filed under the name uncultured bacterium. RNAcentral describes it as "partial 16S ribosomal RNA". It matches the Rfam family "Bacterial small subunit ribosomal RNA", at positions 28 to 507 of the family's 1533-position model. The record is from RNAcentral.